AGCGGAUUAGUGUAAUGGUUAUCACGGGAGACUUUGGAUCUCCAGACGUGAGUUCGAAUCUCACAUCCGCCG
This 72-nucleotide transfer RNA is filed under the name Clostridium sp. AM45-5. Its description in RNAcentral is "tRNA-Gln". It matches the Rfam family "tRNA". Rfam says of the family: Transfer RNA (tRNA) molecules are approximately 80 nucleotides in length. Lineage: Bacteria; Bacillati; Bacillota; Clostridia; Eubacteriales; Clostridiaceae. The record is from RNAcentral.